AGCCGCGGUAAUACGGAGGGUGCAAGCGUUAAUCGGAAUUACUGGGCGUAAAGCGCAUGCAGGUGGUUUGUUAAGUCAGAUGUGAAAGCCCUGGGCUCAACCUAGGAAUCGCAUUUGAAACUGACAAGCUAGAGUACUGUAGAGGGGGGUAGAAUUUCAGGUGUAGCGGUGAAAUGCGUAGAGAUCUGAAGGAAUACCGGUGGCGAAGGCGGCCCCCUGGACAGAUACUGACACUCAGAUGCGAAAGCGUGGGGAGCAAACAGGAUUAGAUACC
This 274-nucleotide ribosomal RNA is filed under the name Vibrio sp. BacPol12. Its description in RNAcentral is "partial 16S ribosomal RNA". It matches the Rfam family "Bacterial small subunit ribosomal RNA", at positions 513 to 786 of the family's 1533-position model. Lineage: Bacteria; Pseudomonadati; Pseudomonadota; Gammaproteobacteria; Vibrionales; Vibrionaceae. The record is from RNAcentral.